RNAcentral lists this transfer RNA (69 nucleotides) under Ictidomys tridecemlineatus (thirteen-lined ground squirrel). Its description in RNAcentral is "Spermophilus tridecemlineatus (thirteen-lined ground squirrel) tRNA". It matches the Rfam family "tRNA". Rfam says of the family: Transfer RNA (tRNA) molecules are approximately 80 nucleotides in length. Their secondary structure includes four short double-helical elements and three loops (D, anti-codon, and T loops). The record is from Rfam by way of RNAcentral. Lineage: Eukaryota; Metazoa; Chordata; Mammalia; Rodentia; Sciuridae.
GGGGCUGUAGCUCAGUGGUAGAGUGCCCGCCUCGAAUGUGUUAGGCACUGGGUUAGAUUCUCAGCACCA